This is a small nuclear RNA of Capra hircus (goat), 109 nucleotides long. NCBI's taxonomy places the organism in Eukaryota, Metazoa, Chordata, Mammalia, Artiodactyla, Bovidae. The record is from Ensembl.
GUGUUCGCUUUGGUAGCACGUAUAUUAAAAAAUUGCAAUAAUACAGAGAAGGUUAGCAUGGCCCCUGCCCAAGGAUGACACACAAAUUUGUGAAGCCUUCCAUAUAUUU